ACCAGACUCCUACGGGAGGCAGCAGUGGGGAAUAUUGGGCAAUGGGCGAAAGCCUGACCCAGCAACGCCGCGUGAAGGAAGAAGGCUUUCGGGUUGUAAACUUCUUUUGACAGGGAAGAGCAGAAGACGGUACCUGUCGAAUAAGCCACGGCUAACUACGUGCCAGCAGCCGCGGUAAUACGUAGGUGGCAAGCGUUGUCCGGAUUUACUGGGUGUAAAGGGCGUGUAGCCGGGCUGACAAGUCAGAUGUGAAAUCCGGGGGCUCAACCCCCGAACUGCAUUUGAAACUGUUGGUCUUGAGUAUCGGAGAGGCAGGCGGAAUUCCUAGUGUAGCGGUGAAAUGCGUAGAUAUUAGGAGGAACACCAGUGGCGAAGGCGGCCUACUGGGCUUUAACUGACGCUGAGGCACGAAAGCGUGGGUAGCAAACAGGAUUAGAUACCCCAGUAU
This 448-nucleotide ribosomal RNA is filed under the name uncultured bacterium. RNAcentral's name for it is "bacterial SSU rRNA". It matches the Rfam family "Bacterial small subunit ribosomal RNA", at positions 330 to 793 of the family's 1533-position model. The record is from RNAcentral.